RNAcentral lists this ribosomal RNA (433 nucleotides) under uncultured bacterium. Its description in RNAcentral is "partial 16S ribosomal RNA". It matches the Rfam family "Bacterial small subunit ribosomal RNA", at positions 29 to 507 of the family's 1533-position model. The record is from RNAcentral.
AACGAACGCUGGCGGCAUGCCUAACACAUGCAAGUCGAACGAGACCUUCGGGUCUAGUGGCGCACGGGUGCGUAACGCGUGGUAACCUGCCCUUAGGUUCGGAAUAACUCCCCGAAAGGGGUGCUAAUACCGGAUAAUGUCUUCGGACCAAAGAUUUAUCGCCUUUGGAUGGGCCCGCGUUGGAUUAGCUAGUUGGUAGGGUAAAAGCCUACCAAGGCGACGAUCCAUAGCUGGUCUGAGAGGAUGAUCAGCCACACUGGGACUGAGACACGGCCCAGACUCCUACGGGAGGCAGCAGUGGGGAAUAUUGGACAAUGGGCGAAAGCCUGAUCCAGCAAGGCCGCGUGAGUGAUGAAGGCCUUAGGGUUGUAAAGCUCUUUUAACCGGGAUGAUAAUGACAGUACCGGGAGAAUAAGCUCCGGCUAACUCCGUG